UCUUCACCCCGCUCCUCCCUUGCUCGGUCGUUCGGCUGGCCCGGCUCACCUUCGGGGUGACGGCUAGCAGCGAGCAUUAUAGCAGACGACUUUAAUAAAUGCAGGCGGCAGGAGGAACUCUGGGAACUUGGGUGCCCUUGACUGGCAGUAGGGGUUGAAUUAUCCAGAUCUGAAAUACUUUUCAGAGCCGAGGGGUGAUACGCUCUGCAAAAGCACUUUUUGCACCUCUCCCUUACGCUAAUACUCGCUGACUGUGCGCACAAGUCAUAUUCAGUAUUAAAUACAAACCGAUCUGUAAUUCAAUGGCUCUAGCAAGACGCCUCUGAGAGGGCCAGGUGGCGGGUGCAAGUUGCUCAUUAACCCUUCAGAGUCGCGGUUUGCAGAUCUGAGUUAAAUCCCUGGUUUAAGGUCGUUCAGUUGCCCUCCUCCCCCUCUCCCCCCGCCACUUCGAGAAAAAUGUGCAAAGAGAAGGAAAUUUGCACAUCAAACGAGGGGCAAUCGCGGCAGUAGAUGAACUUGAUUAGGCAGACGCUUGAGAUCAAAGUGGCCGGGGCCAAAGCGGACAGGGUCCAACGUACCGGCACUGCCAAGAGAAGGCUUUUUCUUUUGCUCAGGUUAAAUAAGAACAUCCUGCAAGGAGUCUGUUCUUUUAUGCAGCCUGAAGAUCAAGUAAUAAUCAUUGACAUCGAUACUAAGCAUGUCGAUUUUGAAGAGACCGGCAUGAACCUUGAAGAAUCAUGUUCUUCCUAGGAAUUACAAAUCCUCCGAUUCCAUGUCUAACAUAAUUUCUACUGGCCUCUUUGCUUCUCUUGCUUUAGUACCAGUUCUUCUGAAUUUGAAGGUCUUCAUGCAAAUUGCCCAGCUGACAGGGCAGACACUGUUGAGGAAAUGCUGAUCACAACAUCACAGGGAAAGGAGAAUGUAACGAAGCAAGAACUGGCUCUUAAAGCUUCUGCUUGCAGUGACAAGGCUCACUUUUCAAUGGCCAAAGCAAGUCAAAAACCCCAGCCUGACUUACAUGGCACAGAAAAGUCCCCCAGGGAGGGAAAUCAGACAUUGAUGAACUGUGGCCAAAAUCCAGCUGAGCCAGAACCUCAGGUCACCAAUAUCAUUUCUCCUCAGAGGACUAAGAGUCCUCCUGCAAAUUAACUCCUAGUAUCCUGUCCUGAUGUACCGGAUACUAGAGGUCUGUUGAAAACUUGCCUCAUAAAUGAUUUGCAUAUACAAGAACUCGGAGAAAGCAUCCUGUUUUGUUGAGAGGUGCACCAAGUGACUUUUUCAUCAUUGGUAUCAUAACGAGGUGUGGUUAGCAGUCAUUUCCUUUUUUCUUUUGGGUUGGACCAUUGUCAAUGGAGUCUAUAAAAUGAGACAUGUUAGAACUUGACUGCACUAAUUUAUUUUUACAGAAUCUGCACAGCUUAGCAAAACAGGAAUACCUGUAUACAGACUGAUAGAAUGUCAUAUAUUAAUUUGACCUGCACAUACAUUUAUACAUUUCACAGAAAUGACGCUGUAUCUCAUUAACAGAUACACAGCUCUGGUACAUUUAACAGAAAUAAGAGAACAACUUCAUCAUUUCUGUAAUUCAUCAAUAUUAUAUAAUAAAGGCUUAUAAAUUGUUAGCAGAAAGAACUGUAAAACGCAGCAAGCUAAGAAAGGACAACAUUUUGAGGUGUGUUUGUCUUUGUCAUGCAGCAUAACACCAAAUUUGUUUUUUCAAUAGGAUGCCAUGAAUUUAAGGCACUUGCAACAAUGCCAGAUAGCCAGGUCAUGUUCUAAACUAUGGGACAGAUGAAUAACAGUACAGUUGACAUAAUUUUCAAUAAUACUGACAAUUAUGACAUUAAUUCAAGUCUACUUGGACCUAAAAACAUUAUUCAAUACAAAUAAAAUGAAAUAAUAAUGCUGUGAAACACUAAAAAAAGUUAUAUGUACCACAAAAUAUCACACAAAAAUAUCUAUUUACAUAAAUAUUUGUCUGUGGUCCUAUUGUGAAAGGAAAAGUUGUUAUGGAUAAUGCACAGAUCACCUCUAUUGUAUGAAAUCAGUUCUAAUAUCUUUAUUUCCAAUAUGGUAGCUGAUUUCAUUAAAUUUGUUUACCAUCAGUUCAGUAAUUUAUAAAUGAAACAGGAAAAAUUCAAUAGUUGAGUUUAUUACUACACAUGUGUAAUUCACAUGCAUAUUCCACAACUUUAGGUAAAAAUUAUGACUUGUAAAGAAUAUAAUCAGAAUAAAUUUAUUUUGAAUGCCAUAUGGAUCUGAUUCAUAUAUUAAUAAGAAAGAAGAUAUAAACAUAAAAAUCAUGUAUAGCAUUUUUCCAGAAAUUAUUUUUUCAAAUGUAUUCAAUCCAUCUCAGUUAUUUUAAUGUUGUUUCCCUUGGCAGUUUCAGUUUUCCUGUGAGUCAAAACACACAGAAAGCCCUUAUUUCCCAUACUCAACACAUUAACAAGAAAAUCAUAAAACAAAUCAAACAAGUUGGCACUAUUCUAACUUAUGUAGAUGUUCUUUAGUGUAAGAAAAUAGAGGGGUUGUGAAAAAUUCAGAAAUAAAGUGAGAUGCACUUUAUGGAACUGACCAUGAAUUUUAGCCCUAGAGUCUUCAUUAAGACAAGAUUUAAAUCCUAGAAAUUCAGUGUUGAAAAUUAGAUGAAUGUUUUCUGUUGGUACAUCUCGGAAGAUGUAGUUUACCUUUAUUUUGUGAUGAUUGCUUCAGACAUCAAAUGCAAUGCUAUGGG
Long non-coding RNA from Cercocebus atys (sooty mangabey), 2734 nucleotides. RefSeq lists it as uncharacterized. The transcript has 7 exons. Lineage: Eukaryota; Metazoa; Chordata; Mammalia; Primates; Cercopithecidae. The record is from RefSeq and is a predicted model, not a curated record.